UGAACGCUAGCUACAGGCUUAACACAUGCAAGUCGAGGGGCAGCAUCAGGUUAGCUUGCUAACUUGGAUGGCGACCGGCGCACGGGUGAGUAACGCGUAUCCAACCUUCCCCCUGCUCAGGGAUAGCCCGGUGAAAACCGGAUUAAGACCUGAUAGUUUCACUAGAUGGCAUCUGACGGUGAAUAAAGGUUUCGGCAAGGGAUGGGGAUGCGUCUGAUUAGCUUGUUGGCGGGGUAACGGCCCACCAAGGCGACGAUCAGUAGGGGUUCUGAGAGGAAGGUCCCCCACAUUGGAACUGAGACACGGUCCAAACUCCUACGGGAGGCAGCAGUGAGGAAUAUUGGUCAAUGGGCAGAAGCCUGAACCAGCCAAGUAGCGUGCAGGAAUGACGGCCCUAUGGGUUGUAAACUGCUUUUGUAUGGGAAUAAAGUCAUCCACGUGUGGAUGUUUGCAUGUACCAUAAGAAUAAGGACCGGCUAAUUCCGUGCCAGCCGCCGC
RNAcentral lists this ribosomal RNA (498 nucleotides) under uncultured bacterium. RNAcentral describes it as "bacterial SSU rRNA". It matches the Rfam family "Bacterial small subunit ribosomal RNA", at positions 30 to 518 of the family's 1533-position model. The record is from RNAcentral.